RNAcentral lists this small RNA (573 nucleotides) under Pongo abelii (Sumatran orangutan). RNAcentral describes it as "processed transcript". The record is from RNAcentral. Lineage: Eukaryota; Metazoa; Chordata; Mammalia; Primates; Hominidae.
AGUCAAGAGAGAACUCCAAGUCAGAGUGAGUAAGUUUAGAGCACAUCGCAGGUUGUCUAACCCAACACAAGGAGAAGGGCAUGGAAAUCUUUCCUGAGAGGAAAUGGCCUGAAGGAUGAAAGGACAAAAGAUAGAGGACAGAUGUAUUAUCCUCAGAGGAAAUGCCUUUUGUAGAUGUUUGGUCGUAACAGUACUGCAAGAUUGGGAAAUGAAAAGUGAUUUAACAUCUUUCCAAGUAUCAAUGUUAAACUCACCAAGAUAUCAUGGAAAUCAGGACAGUGGCAGUUGGGAUUGUGGCAAUCAAAGGGGUGGAAAGUGAAUUCUAUCUUGCAAUGAACAAGGAAGGAAAACUCUAUGCAAAGAAAGAAUGCAAUGAAGAUUGUAACUUCAAAGAACUAAUUCUGGAAAACCAUUACAAUACAUAUGCAUCAGCUAAAUGGACACACAAUGGAGGGGAAAUGUUUGUUGCCUUAAAUCAAAAGGGGAUUCCUGUAAGAGGAAAAAAAACAAAGAAAGAACAAAAAACAGCCCACUUUCUUCCUAUGGCAAUAACUUAAUUGCCUAUGGUAUAUA